Molecule: unclassified non-coding RNA, 481 nt
Filed under: Medicago murex
Lineage: Eukaryota; Viridiplantae; Streptophyta; Magnoliopsida; Fabales; Fabaceae
Source: RNAcentral
GGGGUGUGGGAUGUUCUGCGAUGUUGGUUCUUGCUGACGCGGGGGGCGUGUGAGUGGUAGCGUGGAUGUUUGUGUUUGCCGGCUCAUUGCUUUGGCUUUGAACGGUUUGAUGCGCAUGAUCCUGAUCAUUUUUCAUUGUUGACUUUGUGUCUUCGAUGUUUGUUCGUUGUUCCUGUUCGUUUACCUCUAAAUUGGUACACUAGUGGCUUGUUGGACUUUGAACCAUCCCACACCAUUGCCUGGUGUUGCGGUGGCUUUUGAAUUUAUACGUAUGCUCCGCUUAGAUCUCCUAUGUGGUGUCUUUUGCGGUGCGCAUGUAUUCAUUGAUUUCUCGGACACGGUGCUUGAGAUGACCUUUGGUUUUUCCAUUUAUGUCCCUAAUUAAUUAAUGGUUGCCUUAAAUUAUGCCUGCUCUAUUGGUUGUUUUGCGCCCCUUUCGUGGGCUCAAAACUUCCACGAUGUGCAGAGUCAUUAAUGGAUG